Molecule: ribosomal RNA, 441 nt
Filed under: uncultured bacterium
Lineage: Bacteria
Description: partial 16S ribosomal RNA
Rfam family: Bacterial small subunit ribosomal RNA
Source: RNAcentral
CCUACGGGAGGCUGCAGUGGGGAAUAUUGCACAAUGGGGGGAACCCUGAUGCAGCGACGCCGCGUGGGUGAAGGAGUAUCUCGGUAUGUAAAGCCCUAUCAGCAGGGAAGAACAAUGACGGUACCUGACUAAGAAGCACCGGCUAAAUACGUGCCAGCAGCCUCGGUAAUACGUAUGGUGCAAGCGUUAUCCGGAUUUACUGGGUGUAAAGGGAGCGCAGGCGGCGCGUUAAGCCUGGUGUGAAAGCUCGCGGCCCAACCGCGGGACUGCAUUGGGAACUGGCGCGCUUGAGUGCCGGAGGGGUAGGCGGAAUUCGUGGUGUAGCGGUGAAAUGCGUAGAUAUUAGGAGGAACACCAGUGGCGAAGGCGGCCUACUGGACGGUGACUGACGCUGAGGCUCGAAAGCGUGGGGAGCAAACAGGAUUAGAUACCCGAGUAGUC